GACGAACGCUGGCGGCGUGCUUAACACAUGCAAGUCAUGGGGGCCUGUGCAAACAGGCAACCGGCGAACGGGUGCGUAACACGUGAGCAACCUGCCUAGAUGUGGGGGAUAGCCGGCCCAACGGCCGGGUAAUACCGCAUACGUUCUUUGGGGGGAGGUCCCCUCGGAGAGCAAACCUUUCGGGGGCGAUGUAGAGGGGCGUCGCGGCCAUCAGCUAGUUGGCGAGGUAACGGCUCACCAAGGCGACGACGGGUAGCUGGUCUGAGAGGAUGGCCAGCCACAUUGGGGACGUGAGAGGCGGCCCAGACUCCUACGGGAGGCAGCAGUGGGGAAUCUUGCGCAAUGGCCGGAAAGGCUGACGCAGCGACGCCGCGUGUGGG
RNAcentral lists this ribosomal RNA (380 nucleotides) under uncultured bacterium. RNAcentral's name for it is "bacterial SSU rRNA". It matches the Rfam family "Bacterial small subunit ribosomal RNA", at positions 28 to 407 of the family's 1533-position model. The record is from RNAcentral.